This 102-nucleotide non-coding RNA is filed under the name bovine gut metagenome. Its description in RNAcentral is "SAM riboswitch (S box leader)". It matches the Rfam family "SAM riboswitch aptamer (S box leader)". From Rfam's summary of the family: The SAM riboswitch is found upstream of a number of genes which code for proteins involved in methionine or cysteine biosynthesis in Gram-positive bacteria. The SAM riboswitch acts at the level of transcription termination control. The predicted structure consists of a complex stem-loop region followed by a single stem loop terminator region. The record is from RNAcentral.
CUUAUCAAGAGCGGCGGAGGGACAGGCCCGAUGAUGCCCGGCAACCGGUUCAAGCGAACAAGGUGCCAAUUCCUGCGGCGGGAUCCCCGCCGAAAGAUGAGG